UACGUAGGGUGCAAGCGUUGUCCGGAAUUAUUGGGCGUAAAGAGCUCGUAGGCGGUUUGUCGCGUCUGCUGUGAAAACCCGGGGCUCAACCCCGGGCCUGCAGUCGAUACGGGCAGACUAGAGUGUGGUAGGGGAGACUGGAAUCGCGUGGUGCAGCGGUGAAAUGCGCAGAUAUCAGGAGGAACACCGGUGGCGAAGGCGGGUCUCUGGGCCAUAACUGACGCUGAGGAGCGAAAGCGUGGGGAGCGAACAGG
RNAcentral lists this ribosomal RNA (254 nucleotides) under uncultured bacterium. Its description in RNAcentral is "partial 16S ribosomal RNA". It matches the Rfam family "Bacterial small subunit ribosomal RNA", at positions 524 to 776 of the family's 1533-position model. The record is from RNAcentral.